GGGGGCGCGCGGAGAGCUGCCGGAGCAGAGCGGAGCGCAGGCAUCUUCCGCAAUCCAUUCAUGCACUGAAGCGCGUGCAGAGCUGCUGCUCGCUGCCAUUGUUACUCGCGGGCGGUGUGGGAGCCGAGCCUCCACUCUGGCGAGAUAAAUGGCCUCUGACAGCCCCUCCUCGCCAAGAGAGCUCCUCGGAUUUCACAGCGCAGCGGCUCUCAGGUCUGUGCCUCGCUCGCUUCCCGGUCCGGGGUGGACUGCAUCUUCAAGCUUCCCGAUUUCCCGCCGGUCGGCUCUGCCGCUGCGUCCCACGUUAGCUUGUGGCACACCCGUCGAUGGGAACUUGACCAUAGCAGGACGAUAGAGGCCCAGUCGUGGUGACUCCACUGCCCCCCUCUCCUUCGAGGUCUCCCUCAAGGUCCUGGGCUGGAUCAGACUCGAGACACCCCCCCCCCCCCACACACACACCCCGUCCAGGUCCGAUUCUCGCUGAUGCCCAGGGGAGGGCGGGAAAUAAACAGAUUGGAGCCCCCUGAGUUUGGGUGGCCACUAAAGCCUGGGCUGGGGUUUCUGCCUCUGAGGGGCCUGGACCGUUUGUGCCUUUGCUCACCUGCCCAAGUCCUCCUCAGAAGCUUUGAUCCACUCUAAGCGUGCCCCCCACCCUGCGCCUGAAUCUGAAAGUAAGGUUGUGGCUGCUAGGACCAAAACCUGGCAGGAGGCAGCGAAGAGAUUGGGGCUUGGGGAGGGUGGCACCCGGGCUUAGUGUAGGUCACACUUGGAUGUGGAGACAGAUCUUUGCUCCUUUGGCGAGUUUGGGCCUGGGAUCUUUAAGGCUCAGCCCAACCAGAUGGGAGAGGUGGGGGGAGGG
Molecule: long non-coding RNA, 859 nt
Organism: Heterocephalus glaber (naked mole-rat)
Lineage: Eukaryota; Metazoa; Chordata; Mammalia; Rodentia; Bathyergidae
Source: Ensembl